GCUGGGCGCGGUGGGGCACGCUUGUCAUCCCAGUGGCUCUGGAGGCUGAGGCAGGAGGAUCGCAAGUUGGAGGCCAGCCUCAGCAUCUUAGUGAGGCCCUAAGCAACUCAGGGAGACCCUGUCUCUA
Molecule: small RNA, 127 nt
Filed under: Marmota monax (woodchuck)
Lineage: Eukaryota; Metazoa; Chordata; Mammalia; Rodentia; Sciuridae
Source: RNAcentral